Molecule: ribosomal RNA, 492 nt
Filed under: uncultured bacterium
Lineage: Bacteria
Description: partial 16S ribosomal RNA
Rfam family: Bacterial small subunit ribosomal RNA
Source: RNAcentral
AGUGAACGCUGGCGGUAGGCCUAACACAUGCAAGUCGAACGGCAGCACAGUAAGAGCUUGCUCUUACGGGUGGCGAGUGGCGGACGGGUGAGGAAUACAUCGGAAUCUACUUUUUCGUGGGGGAUAACGUAGGGAAACUUACGCUAAUACCGCAUACGACCUACGGGUGAAAGCAGGGGAUCUUCAGACCUUGCGCGAUUGAAUGAGCCGAUGUCGGAUUAGCUAGUUGGCGGGGUAAAGGCCCACCAAGGCGACGAUCCGUAGCUGGUCUGAGAGGAUGAUCAGCCACACUGGAACUGAGACACGGUCCAGACUCCUACGGGAGGCAGCAGUGGGGAAUAUUGGACAAUGGGCGCAAGCCUGAUCCAGCCAUACCGCGUGGGUGAAGAAGGCCUUCGGGUUGUAAAGCCCUUUUGUUGGGAAAGAAAAGCAGCAGGUUAAUACCCCGCUGUUCUGACGGUACCUAAAGAAUAAGCACCGGCUAACUUCGUG